UACAGAGGUCUUAAGCGUUGUUCGGAUUUACUGGGCGUAAAGGGUGCGUAGGUGGCGGGGUAAGUCUGGUGUGAAAGCUUCGAGCUCAACUCGGAAAAGCAUUGGAAACUAUCCCGCUGGAGGGUCGGAGGGGAGACUGGAAUUCUCGGUGUAGCAGUGAAAUGCGUAGAUAUCGAGAGGAACACCAGUGGCGAAGGCGAGUCUCUGGACGACUCCUGACGCUGAGGCGCGAAAGCGAGGGGAGCAAACAGG
Molecule: ribosomal RNA, 252 nt
Filed under: uncultured bacterium
Lineage: Bacteria
Description: partial 16S ribosomal RNA
Rfam family: Bacterial small subunit ribosomal RNA
Source: RNAcentral